AUCGGAGUGGGGCUAAGCCAUGCGAGUCGAACGUUUCCCAACUGUGGGAAGCGUGGCGAACGGCUCAGUAACACGUAGCCAACCUAACCUAAGAUGUGAACAACCCCGGGAAACUGGGAUUAAUUCAUGAUAGAUCAAGGCUCCUGGAAUGGGCUUUGGUCCAAAGGGAUGGACAAGCAUGUUUUGCCCAUCUGCUCUAGAUGGGGCUGCGGCCGAUCAGUUGUUGGUGGGGUAAUGGCCCACCAAGCCUAUAACCGGUACGGGCUUUGAAGAAGAGCCCGGAAUGGACACUGAAUAAAGGUCCAAGGCCCUACGGGGCGCACAGCGCGAAAACUUCGCAAUGUGCGAAAGCAUGACGAGGUUACUCCGAGUGCUACUCGCUGAGGGUGGCUUUUCCUGAGUCUAAAACAGCUUGGGGAACUAAGGGGACGGGUAAAGUCUGGUGUCAGCCGCCGCGGUAAUACCAGCUCCUCGAGUGGUCGGGAC
Molecule: ribosomal RNA, 486 nt
Filed under: uncultured archaeon
Lineage: Archaea
Description: partial 16S ribosomal RNA
Rfam family: Archaeal small subunit ribosomal RNA
Source: RNAcentral